GGUGGGAUGACGUCAAGUCAGCAUGGCCUUUAUGUCCUGGGCUACACACACGCUACAAGUGGUCGACACAAUAGGUAGCCAAGCCGCGAGGCGGAGCCAAUCCUUAAAGUCGGCCUCAGUUCAGAUUGUAGGCUGCAACCCGCCUGCAUGAAGAUGGAGUUGCUAGUAACCGCAGGUCAGCUAUACUGCGGUGAAUACGUUCCCGGGGCUU
This 211-nucleotide ribosomal RNA is filed under the name uncultured Leptolinea sp. RNAcentral's name for it is "partial 16S ribosomal RNA". It matches the Rfam family "Bacterial small subunit ribosomal RNA", at positions 1173 to 1382 of the family's 1533-position model. Lineage: Bacteria; Bacillati; Chloroflexota; Anaerolineae; Anaerolineales; Anaerolineaceae. The record is from RNAcentral.